Long non-coding RNA from Cynoglossus semilaevis (tongue sole), 2850 nucleotides. RefSeq lists it as uncharacterized. The transcript is spliced from 3 exons. Lineage: Eukaryota; Metazoa; Chordata; Actinopteri; Pleuronectiformes; Cynoglossidae. The record is from RefSeq and is a predicted model, not a curated record.
UGCGUCUUUUGCAGAAAAAAAAAAGAAACUCAAUCGAAAUACAUUUUUCAGUACCACAUUACUUGAUGUACUGUAAUACUACACACCCUCCACUGUUCUCCGGUGUGUUUCUCUCCCUCAGGCCCGAAAAUAGGCCAGCUUUGAACCAUGUGACUGUAGGUGUCAGGAGGAGAAAGCUUACACACAAACUCACCACACACACACACACACAGACACUACCAGGUGUGUACCUAUUGUCAUUCCAGGACUUAAACACAGUGCUCAGGUUACAGGCUGCAGCAUGUUAAAAAUGUUAAAUGUGUGUUAUUGUUCAGGACGGUAUCAGCAGCAAACAUCAUGCUAACUUCUGUCAGCACGUUUACAUUUACACACACACACACAGAUCCACAGUAGAGUUUCACCCCCGGUUUAAAAGCACAGACAGAGAACCACCAACAGACUCCACUGCACCACUACGUUGCCUCUCGUUCUGUACCUGUUUCAUGCUAAAAUUAGCUCUUAGCUUCUUUGAAUCUGCAGAGAUAAAGGCGACUCCUCAGUAGAUAGACAGCAGGCUGUCUCGUCUGAGCCUCGGUAGAUUUUAAGAUCACGAGUGUUGAAGUCGUGGGUGGAAGACGGGAAGCGUCUUCCUCCGUAAAACAUUUGUGUCUUUUACAUAAAAUAUAGUGUCUUUUACCUUUGAAAAAAAGCAGGAUUUGUGUGUGUACUGUACACCAUGUGUGUGUGUGUAUAAGAUGUGCAGGGGGCAGCGGUGAGGGCAGUACUUUUCCACAUGGUGAGCCUGUAGUGCAGCAGCAAAUGCACAAAGGAGUCGGGUUUCAGUGCUGUGUCAACUUGAGCAGUGACAAGGGGAACAGGACAAUGUUGAAGGGGAGGAGCUCAAACAGAGAGGAGAGAGAGGGAGGUACAGUGAAGGACAAGUGAAGGAGGGAGAGAGGGAGGGAGGAGGGGGUGUGAAAGAAACCCCUGGUCUCUGAAUCUGUUUUGCAGGAACAUCAUUUUAUUUAUAUUAAACAUCAUUCAAAACAUUAGAUACGUUAUAAUUGGUCAGACUUUGUUCAAAUCGUGGCUCAGGGUCCAGCUGUGGCCCUCUGGCAUGUGUCUUAUAUGACCAGUCAGUUUAGUCCUCAAAAUUAGUUUAUUUACCUCCUGUAACGAUGACUAAGUUAUCGCUGCGGCUAUAAGGUUAUUUGUCGUCAUGUGAAGAAUAUAAGUCAGUGCAGCAGAGAUGAAAUGCGAUCAGGUGAUGCUCAGGCACAGAUCUCAGCUGCAGAGAGUCGAGUCACGACUCUGCCAUGCUGCUCUGUCUCCUUCAACAGCCGCAGUUUCAGAGGAUUUCUGUUGGUUCUUUUUGUGGAGAGGUGUGAACAAUGUUGGCUCCUAAUCCUCUUCUUUGUGGCAGUUGGUCAGCCUCUCGAGGACACAUUGUUAUUUAAGUAGUACCAUUCAGUGGACUGAGGACGUAGUCAGUCAGUCGGGACAUUUGAAUGAGAGGUUGUGAGAUGACUGACAGCAUCUGUGAAAAAUCCGAUGUUUGAUGCCACUUUACUUUUUUAGUACUGCAGUACUGGGAGGGUUAUAUGUUGGAAUCAUUAGAAAUAUAUUAAUGAUAGAAGACAUAGAGAUUGUGGGUGUAAAAGAGGGAGGUGAAGGAGGAGGAGAAGUAGAAACAGAAGAAGUAGAAUAGUAAUCAGUGAAGAAUAUAAAAACGAGAGAAGGAAGAAAAUUAAAAAAGGAAAAUAAUAGAAGAAGAGGUAAUAGAAGUAGUAGAAGUAAUAUAAGUAGUAGUAGUGGUAGUAGUAGUGGUGGUAGUUCGUGUGAGGAGCCGUGACCGUUAUCAGCUCAUGAUAGGUCGAGGCAGCCUUCAGCUACCAUCUGAGUCAGGGUCAACCUGAUAUCAGGUUGUAAAACAAUUAUUGUAAGAAAAUGAAUCGGCUGGGUAAACAGGCUGAUUUUUAGUCAGUUAAAGUAUUAAUAGCCUCACUUGCUAGUUUUACUCCUGUGAUGGUUUAAAACCGGACUUUUCUUCUAGGUUCACUGGGCUGUGCAUAUCCACUGUGUCCUGGUCAGUGACCCUGAUCCUGAGCCAAAAUCAUCAACCUUUGACUGUUUGCACUGAGGUCCUAUUUUUAGUUUUUCUAUUGGAUUUGUUCUAUUUUUAGGCCUUUACACACAAUAGUAGUGGCCGCAAUCAUCUUUUCGGAGUUCCUUGACCCUUUAUUUCAACACAGUACCUCUAAAAUAUCAGUCUCUUAAAUAAAGGUUAGUUUAAUUUUGAAGCAAAAGCUGUGACUGUGGUAGGGGGACGUAACAAUAGUCCUGUCAAAUUGGGGAGUAUAAUUAUUGGGAACAUUUUUACAUCAAUACAAAAUUAAAAUCCUAUUUAAAGGAAAAUACAAGACAAAGCAAACACAGUGUAAACUCAGGUGAUGUUUGGUGGAUUCGCUGUCAACAUGGAGCUACUCAAUAAUAUUUCUUGGUAAAAGUGCGUCUGGUUGUGAGAGAUAAGAGUGUGCUUGGUUAGAGAGCAGACUGGAAAUGUUCAGCCAUCAAUGAGUCGCUCUUUGGAAAUGACAAGGCAGUAAACCCAACUCAUGGUGGAACACAGACCUCUUUACGACCCUGAGCAGCAGUUUUACACCUAACCAAAAUGACUAAGUCCUAUGAAGCUGGGAACGUCUGUGUUUUUCCUGGCUGUGAGCUCAGCUGUCUGCGAUGGACAUGUGUUAAUGAGCUUUCAACCUUCAGACACAUUUGAACAGAAUGCAGGGAAUGUUACACCUUCAUAGAACUGAAAACCAGGACACUGAUCUUCUCGUGUCUGUGUGUCAGUACACUUCAAUUAAAAAA